GACAAAGGGUCGCGAUCACGCGAGGGUGAGCUAACUUCAAAACUCGUCCUUAGUUCGGAUGGCAAGCGACCAGGGCGACACACGUGCUACAAUGGCCUGGACAAAGGGUCGCGAUCUCGCGAGGGUAAGCUAACUUCAAAACCUGUCCUCAGUUUGGAUUGUAGGCAGGAACUCGCCUGCAUGAAGCCGAAAUCGCUAGUAAUCGCCGGUCAGCCAUAUGGCGGUGAAUUCGUUCCCCGGCCUUGUAC
This 248-nucleotide ribosomal RNA is filed under the name Amborella trichopoda. Its description in RNAcentral is "rRNA SSU_rRNA_eukarya". It matches the Rfam family "Bacterial small subunit ribosomal RNA", at positions 1005 to 1386 of the family's 1533-position model. The record is from RNAcentral. Lineage: Eukaryota; Viridiplantae; Streptophyta; Magnoliopsida; Amborellales; Amborellaceae.